RNAcentral lists this long non-coding RNA (637 nucleotides) under Trifolium pratense (red clover). RNAcentral's name for it is "long non-coding RNA (TPRA_LNC009677)". The record is from RNAcentral. Lineage: Eukaryota; Viridiplantae; Streptophyta; Magnoliopsida; Fabales; Fabaceae.
UCGGAACAAAUUGGAAUAAAAGGAAACAUACACAAAUUAGCAUGACAAUUAUAGUCGCUAUUACAAACAAAAGAUUCUCCUGUAAUGCAAAACAAAAAGAUAUCAGUGUUAAUGAAAGUGGAUGAAAAGAAUGUGUAUUACCUAAUUUUUAUUUUUAUUUUAAAAAAAGAAGAUUGAGAGACUUACCAGCAUUUAUAUCUUUUACAACAAAAAAUAAGAAAGUAAAGAAGAUCAUAGCGUAAACAAACUUAAUCAUUUCAUUCAUAUUUUUUAUCCUUCUUGUGCAAUAAACAUUUAAUUUUGGUUUCAAUUUAUAUUGAUUUUUUAGCACUUAUAGAAAUGCAAGAAAUCCUUCAGAAAAAUUAAUGUCAUCAUAAAAUGUCUUUUACGUACAUUCAUGUGUUGUAUAUGGACAUAUACAACACAAUUAUAUACAUGUGUAGUUUAUUUCUUCAAAAAACAUAAGUAGUUUAUAUACAUCCACAUUUCAUUACACUUUAUUUCUCUUUUAUAACCUUUCAUGAUAGAUAAGAAAAAACCACAAAACAAAAAUAUAAUAGUAGUAAAUGAUGACAAGGUUACGUUGUAAGAAUUAUAUAUAGUUCGAUUUUGCCUCAAUAUCAUUGGUGAAUUAUUC